This 431-nucleotide ribosomal RNA is filed under the name Libinia dubia. RNAcentral describes it as "partial 16S ribosomal RNA". The stretch from base 306 to 431 matches the Rfam family "Bacterial large subunit ribosomal RNA", at positions 2473 to 2598 of the family's 2925-position model. The record is from RNAcentral. Lineage: Eukaryota; Metazoa; Arthropoda; Malacostraca; Decapoda; Majidae.
UCAUUAGUUUUUUAAUUGAAAACUUGUAUGAAAGGUUGAACAAAAGAAGUUCUGUCUCUAUUUUUAAUAUUGAAUUUAACUUUUAAGUGAAAAGGCUUAAAUUUUUUAAGGGGACGAUAAGACCCUAUAAAGCUUUAUAAAAAAUAUAAUAAUUUCUAAAAAUAAUUUGUAUUAUGAAUAUAUUUGUUUUUUAUUUUAUUGGGGCGAUUCGGAUAAAAUUAUAAUUAACUGUCAGUAUGAGAUACAUAAAUUUAUGUAAAUUUAAAUGAUCCUAAUUAAAGAUUAAAAGACAAAGUUACUUUAGGGAUAACAGCGUUAUUUCUUUUAAGAGUUCUUAUUGAAAAAGAAGUUUGCGACCUCGAUGUUGAAUUAAAAUAUCUUUACAGUGCAGUCGUUGUAAGAAGAAGGUCUGUUCGACCUUUAAUUUUUUA